RNAcentral lists this non-coding RNA (108 nucleotides) under OM182 bacterium. RNAcentral describes it as "SAM-I sequence". It matches the Rfam family "SAM riboswitch aptamer (S box leader)". From Rfam's summary of the family: The SAM riboswitch is found upstream of a number of genes which code for proteins involved in methionine or cysteine biosynthesis in Gram-positive bacteria. Lineage: Bacteria; Pseudomonadati; Pseudomonadota; Gammaproteobacteria. The record is from RNAcentral.
AUGUUAUCAAGAAAGGUGGAGGGACUAGACCCUUUGAAGCCUUAGCAACCUCCCAUUUUUUGGAAAAGGUGCUAAAUUCUACCCAAUUAAAAAAUGGAUAGAUAACAA